RNAcentral lists this ribosomal RNA (328 nucleotides) under uncultured bacterium. RNAcentral's name for it is "bacterial SSU rRNA". It matches the Rfam family "Bacterial small subunit ribosomal RNA", at positions 528 to 853 of the family's 1533-position model. The record is from RNAcentral.
GAGGAUGCGAGCGUUAUCCGGAAUUAUUGGGUUUAAAGGGUGCGUAGGCGGAAUGGUAAGUCAGCGGUGAAAUACUGCAGCUCAACUGUAGUUGUGCCGUUGAUACUGUCAUUCUUGAGUAUAGAUGAGGUAGGCGGAAUGAGUAGUGUAGCGGUGAAAUGCAUAGAUAUUACUCAGAACACCGAUUGCGAAGGCAGCUUACUAAACUAUAACUGACGCUGAAGCACGAAAGCGUGGGUAUCAAACAGGAUUAGAUACCCUGGUAGUCCACGCUGUAAACGAUGAUUASCUGGUUGUUUGUUCGAAAGAGAACUAAGGCGACUGCGCG